Molecule: ribosomal RNA, 529 nt
Filed under: uncultured cyanobacterium
Lineage: Bacteria; Bacillati; Cyanobacteriota
Description: bacterial SSU rRNA
Rfam family: Bacterial small subunit ribosomal RNA
Source: RNAcentral
GAUGAACGCUGGCGGCGUGCUUAACACAUGCAAGUCGAACGAACCUUCGGGUUAGUGGCGGACGGGUGAGUAACGCGUGAGAAUCUGCCCUCAGGAGGGGGAUAACGGCUGGAAACGGCCGCUAAUACCCCAUAUGCCGAGAGGUGAAAUGAAUUUCGCCUGAGGAUGAGCUCGCGUCUGAUUAGCUAGUUGGUGUGGUAAAGGCUCACCAAGGCAUCGAUCAGUAGCUGGUCUGAGAGGAUGAUCAGCCACACUGGGACUGAGACACGGCCCAGACUCCUACGGGAGGCAGCAGUGGGGAAUUUUCCGCAAUGGGCGCAAGCCUGACGGAGCAACGCCGCGUGAGGGAUGAAGGCCUCUGGGCUGUAAACCUCUUUUAUCAAGGAAGAAGAUCUGACGGUACUUGAUGAAUAAGCCACGGCUAAUUCCGUGCCAGCAGCCGCGGUAAUACGGGAGUGGCAAGCGUUAUCCGGAAUUAUUGGGCGUAAAGCGUCCGCAGGCGGUCUUGAAAGUCUGUUGUUAAAGCGUG